This 232-nucleotide ribosomal RNA is filed under the name uncultured bacterium. Its description in RNAcentral is "partial 16S ribosomal RNA". It matches the Rfam family "Bacterial small subunit ribosomal RNA", at positions 524 to 755 of the family's 1533-position model. The record is from RNAcentral.
UACGUAGGGUGCGAGCGUUGUCCGGAAUUAUUGGGCGUAAAGAGCUUGUAGGCGGUUUGUCGCGUCUGCUGUGAAAAUCCGGGGCUCAACCCCGGACUUGCAGUGGGUACGGGCAGACUAGAGUGUGGUAGGGGAGACUGGAAUUCCUGGUGUAGCGGUGAAAUGCGCAGAUAUCAGGAGGAACACCGGUGGCGAAGGCGGGUCUCUGGGCCAUUACUGACGCUGAGGAGCG